Molecule: ribosomal RNA, 245 nt
Filed under: uncultured bacterium
Lineage: Bacteria
Description: partial 16S ribosomal RNA
Rfam family: Bacterial small subunit ribosomal RNA
Source: RNAcentral
GUCCACGCCGUAACGAUGGAUACUAGCUGUUGGCGCAAGUUCAGUGGCUAAGCGAAGUGAUAAGUAUCCCACCUGGGAGUACGUUCGCAAGAAUGAACUCAAGGAAUUGACGGGCCCGCACAAGCGGUGGAGCAUGUGGUUUAAUUCGAUGAUACGCGAGGAACCUUACCAAGGCUUAAAUGUAGAUUGACAGGACUGGAAACAGUUUUCUUCGGACAAUUUACAAGGUGCUGCAUGGUUGUCGU